GCCAGGCUCAGUAGAGUGUCUGUAGUCUCAGCUACUGGGGAGGCUGAGGCAGGAGGACUGCUUGAGCCCAGGAGUUUGAGGUCAGCCUGGGAAACACAGCAAGAUUCUGAUUCAA
Molecule: small RNA, 115 nt
Filed under: Marmota monax (woodchuck)
Lineage: Eukaryota; Metazoa; Chordata; Mammalia; Rodentia; Sciuridae
Source: RNAcentral